RNAcentral lists this long non-coding RNA (822 nucleotides) under Salvia miltiorrhiza (redroot sage). RNAcentral describes it as "long non-coding RNA (SMIL_LNC010533)". Lineage: Eukaryota; Viridiplantae; Streptophyta; Magnoliopsida; Lamiales; Lamiaceae. The record is from RNAcentral.
AACUAAAAUCUGCAGAUUCUCCCUACGAAUCCCAGCUGGUAAAUUUUAAUUAUUUUUUUUUUGCAAAGUUUCUUUUCAUUCAUGAUUUCUCAUUUCUGCCAAAAUAACAUAUGCAUACACUGUCAUACAUAUAUACAAAGCAUGACUGUUGUUAAAAGAAAAUAAGAGUAGAAGGAUGAUUUGAAGCAUGCUGAUAAAAAUGGAGUCUUGAGUCUUGAGUCAUGUUGGCUUUUGUGGAAGUAAUUGCUGUUUCUGGUAUGAGUCGAGUCGGGGAUGGAGGCUGACUGAGGAGGGUGAGAGAGAAUCGAGGAAGGCGGCGGCGGCUCAUCGCUGCUGUCCGUCCGGCGGUGGUGGUCUACCACUGACCGAGGAGAGAGAGAGAUUACGAGGGAGGUCAGCGGCGACGGUUAGCUUUGUCAGCUGAUGUUGUCGUCGGCGGGAGUCAGACGGAGGGAGGCCAGAGGGCGGCGGCCCUGCUGUUGGCGCUCGGCCACGGACGGAGAGAGAGGAGAGCAGUGGGUGACGGUGGCUUAUCGCCGCUGCUUCCCGGCGAGCUUCCGCAGCGGCGGAGCUUUGUGAGAGAGAGAGGAAGGUUGAGGGGAGAGAGGGCGGCUCGACGGCGAUGUCGCCGGAGUUGAGGGCGAUGUCGCGCUGCUGCGUGGCUGCGUUGCGCAUGUCGUGAGCUUUGAGAGAGAGGGAGAGUUCUGCGUUGUGUGGGGGUGUCAGGCGGAGGAGGAAGAGACGAGGCUGGAGAGGCGACGGCGGUGUCGCCGGCGCCAGCGUGCUGUGUGUGUGUGUGUGUUUUGGGAGAACAGAGAGAGA